Molecule: small nucleolar RNA, 87 nt
Organism: Cimex lectularius (bed bug)
Lineage: Eukaryota; Metazoa; Arthropoda; Insecta; Hemiptera; Cimicidae
Product: small nucleolar RNA snR60/Z15/Z230/Z193/J17
Exons: 1
Source: RefSeq, a predicted model, not a curated record
CAUUAUUUAAUGAUGAUUUCAUAGUUCAUAUGAUCAAAUGUGAUUAAAUUACAGGCAAAUGUCUUUCGCCCCUAACUGAAAACAAAA